UCUUAAGGGGAAUGUGGCUGCUACCCAAGGCACCCACAGCUGCUUGGUGAGUGUGUGUGUGUGUGUGCAUUCCAUGCGCAUGAGGAUGUCCAUCUGUCGCAUCAUUGCUCGGAACGCAACACGACUUCCUGAAUGGCAAACUGGUCGUGAUUUACGCUGACGUCACGGAUGCUCAUUCGUGGAUUGGAGCACUCAAGGAAACCUCAUCGAUUCCUGCCUUAACGGGAUUUGUCCUCCCAUUGUUUCCAUUAAGUUGAUUAUUCAACAGCCUAAUCACCCGAAGGUUCAUUGCCGAAAUUAGUUACACAGCGUUUCAACUAAGUCAGCUAAUCGGCUGAUUGGUUACGCUGACUCCAUCUGACCGUCUUGCCACGAGAGUAGGAUUAAGCAAAUACAACUGAAUUUGACAACAGGAUGUUCUAAAAAGAUUUUGACGAGACACGCCGACGUCGAUAGCUGCGAAGGUUCUGAUGGAAUUGUCCAACCAUUGCAGCACCUCUCCGGGACACGAAGGAAGUGUCAUCAUGGUGCCAACAGCAACACACCUUCGAAACCUUGGCCCAUUUGUUCAUCAUUUGGAACGACUCACCUGGCCGGCCAGUGUUAGCGGGAGGUGCGACGGGCUGCAGAGUGCCAACGAAGCCACCGAACGAGGGAGCUCCUGGAUGGGAGCUUCAUCCAGGUUGUCGAUGCGAGGCUUUUUGAUGUUGGUCUCGGGGGUGGUCAAAGGAGUCACGCUGUUCCUCCGGAUCAAGCUCCCCGGACCUCUCCUUACCUCCUGUGCAGAAUUCGACUUAAUAAUAUCCAUCGGUACAGAUAAACAGUACCCGUGUGAGGAGGUCUUACCUCGGGUCGGUCUCUGUGAGUAUUCACUGCCUCCACGUUCAAAGAGAUGGACUCGAUUUUGCAACCGUAGGCCACGGGGGUGAGCUUCAGCACAGUAUGAAGGGGACACUUCAGGAAGUAGGCCAGGAGGCAACGCAUGACAGCCUGGUGGCAGAUGACCAGCACAUUCUCCUGACGCUCCAGCUCCAUAAUGACCGGCUCCACCCUCUGGACCAGGUCCUGGUAGGACUAGAUCCAACAAAAUGGUAAGUGAAUGUCAUCUCAAGUUAAGCAUGAAGGAGUACCACAAGGGUCAAUUUCGGAACCUCGUUUAUUUCAACUGUAGUUGUAAUAUAUCCAGUAUUUUUACUAAUGGGGCCUACCUCUCCAGCGGGGUAGCGAUAGUAGUAUUUAUCUUCAUCCCUCAAGGCGAACUCCUCAGGAAACUUCUCCUUAAUCUCAUCGUACGUCAUCUCCUCACAUAAUCCCUAAAAAAAAAAAAGUCGGUAAAUAUUGAAUAUUUAUCCAGGGAGAAAAUAUAAUGUUGCGUCCCAGAGUGACACGCACUGCGUCAAUUUCAUUGAGGGCCUUCCACUGCUCGUACGGGACCCUCAGGUGCUCAGCUGUCUGGAUGCUGCUGCACAACUGGCUGGUCCAGACCUUCAGAUCUUUCAUCUGCUGCUCCUCCACGAAUCCAGCCAAGGCGCUGGAAAACUACAAAGGAGAGCGCAGAGAAAAAAAAAUCACCGCCUGAUUCCUCCAAACGUGGCCCUGAAGCUUCGGAAUAUCCCCUACCUGCUUGCCCCUCGGCGAGAGGCCAGCGUCGCCCCCGAGCCGCCCCUCCAGGUUGUCUGUGCUCUCUCCGUGUCGACACAGGUAGAUGGUGCGCGGCUGGACGUGGAUGUUCAUCAGGUAGUAGACGAUCUUGCUCUGGGUGUGAUCCUGGAUGCGGUUGACCAGGAAGCGGCGGCCCACGUCUAUCACCUUGAUGAAGGAAAGGUCCCUGCAGGGUCCAGAGGCUGGUAGCUGGCUUUGUAACAUUCAAUCCUCCUUUGGAAAUCCAACACGGCGUCCGUCUUGUUGCAGUCUUUGUAAUCUGGGCAGGAAACCUUCACUUCCUGGAAGAAGAAAAGGAACUUCGAUGUGUACUGCGCAGGAAGUGCCGGUUAACUUCUCACUCAGAAGCAGGCCUUGACGACCCGCCCGCCGAAAUAACGUCCGUUCAGAUCCACCACAGCUGCGGAAGACAGAAGGCAACAGUCAAACCAUGUCAAGAACAUUACACAAAAGCAACAGUGCAGUGCAGAUCACCUUACACCUGAACACAUCGUAUUAAUAAAGAAAAAUAAGCAGCUGUGACCUGAGCCCCAAAACGAAGAACAGAACGGCAACUGGGUGGUCCCACCUGCUCCUCCGGGAGUCUCGGGAGGAACUGGCGCCGGAGCCCCUGCUGCUCGGGCGACACCACAAAGUAGAAGCCUUCAGAAGAUGUUCAAAGUCAAGAGUAUCACUGCAUCAAAAUCCUUCUUACGUUUUUC
Long non-coding RNA from Syngnathus typhle (broad-nosed pipefish), 2363 nucleotides. RefSeq lists it as uncharacterized. Lineage: Eukaryota; Metazoa; Chordata; Actinopteri; Syngnathiformes; Syngnathidae. The transcript is spliced from 10 exons. The record is from RefSeq and is a predicted model, not a curated record.